UACAGAGGUCCCAAGCGUUGUUCGGAAUUACUGGGCGUAAAGGGCGCGUAGGCGGUUCGCUAAGUUGAAUGUGAAAACUCUGGGCUUAACCCAGAGCCUGCAUUCAAUACUGGCGGGCUAGAGUUCUGGAGGGGAUAGCGGAAUUCCUGGUGUAGCGGUGAAAUGCGUAGAUAUCAGGAGGAACACCGGUGGCGAAGGCGGCUAUCUGGACAGAGUCUGACGCUGAGGCGCGAAAGCUAGGGGAGCAAACAGG
RNAcentral lists this ribosomal RNA (253 nucleotides) under uncultured bacterium. RNAcentral's name for it is "partial 16S ribosomal RNA". It matches the Rfam family "Bacterial small subunit ribosomal RNA", at positions 524 to 776 of the family's 1533-position model. The record is from RNAcentral.